CUACGGGUCGCUCCAGUGGGGAAUAUUGCACAAUGGGGGAAACCCUGAUGCAGCGACGCCGCGUGCGGGAAGAAGGCCUUCGGGUUGUAAACCGCUUUCAAUUGGGAAGAAGGGAUGAGAGUUAAUACCUCUCUGACUUGACGGUACCUUUAGAAGAAGCACCGGCUAAUUUCGUGCCAGCAGCCGCGGUAAUACGAAAGGUGCAAGCGUUGUUCGGAUUUACUGGGCGUAAAGAGAUCGUAGGUGGCUUGUUAAGUCGGAUGUGAAAUCCCGGGGCUCAACCUCGGAACUGCAUUCGAUACGGGCAGGCUAGAGUUCAGGAGGGGUAAGCGGAAUUCCGUGUGUAGCAGUGAAAUGCGUAGAUAUACGGAGGAACACCUGAGGCGAAGGCGGCUUACUGGACUGAUACUGACACUGAGGAUCGAAAGCGUGGGUAGCAAACAGGAUUAGAUACCCCGGUAGUC
Molecule: ribosomal RNA, 464 nt
Filed under: uncultured bacterium
Lineage: Bacteria
Description: partial 16S ribosomal RNA
Rfam family: Bacterial small subunit ribosomal RNA
Source: RNAcentral